GCUUCCUCCUCCAGUGCUUCGCACUGGGUACAGCAAUCCCUGCUCCACGCAAGGCACGCCGACACGCACACACCCGCCCAGAGAGUCUGCUCGAAUGCCUCUCUCAGCGCCUCACCACCCUGGUCUAAGAAGAGAUGGCUCAGCCUCUUGCAGUACCAAGGCGUGUGAGGCAGCUCACAAUCACCUGGAACUUCAACCCCAGAAGGAUCUAAUUUCCUCUUCUAGACUCCUCAGGCUUUGCACUCGUGGACACAGACCCACAAACAGACGUACGCAUAAACAUAAUUAAAGGUUUCUUUGGGUUUAAUUUGGUUUCUGUGAUGGAGUCACACGUAUCCCAAGCUGGACUAGAAUUGGGGAACGACCUUGAACUUCUUACCUCCUCCUUCCACCUCUCAAGUGUCAAGAUUACAGGUGUGUGGCACCACACCUGGUUUAUGUGGUGCUAGGGAUCAAACACGGGGCUUUGAAAAUGCUGGGCAAGCACUGGACCAACUGAGCUGCAUCCCAACCAUAUAUUUUUUUUUAAUUUUAAUUUCAUUGACUGCAAUUCUUACACAUAACAGGAUGCAGCAUGUUGUUUCAACACGUGAGCUAACUGAAUGAGGUAACUAGUAUCCCCUACCCUUAAUGUUUCUCGGCUUUUGCAGCCAGUAAGCUCCUGUUUUUAACAUCUUCAUGAAAUAAGUAACAGGUUAGUCUGAACUAUAGUCUCCCGCUCUACUUUUGUAGCACCAGAAUUUAUCCAGGUGUGCCUGGGUUCUCACCCUCUCUGCCUUCUAUCUUUCCCAGGUUCUAAUCAUAGCAAAUUUUUGCCUUCUCUGUGUGGCAGAGAACGUGCAGUAAUUGCCUUUUUGUGUCUGGCUUAUUUGGUACAAUGUCCUCCAGCCUCAUGCAUUUUGCUGCAAAUGAGACUUUUGUCCUUCUUCAUGUCUGAAGACUGUGUAUCUGUACCCAUUCUCUGUUCAGCCUCUGACGGACACCUGGGUGAAUCCACAUCCUAGCAAUUAUAAACAGUGUUGUGGGACUUUGGAGUUGACUCUGGAGGUGAUUCUGAUAAUACAUAUAUAUCAAUACAUAUAUAUCAAUGCUGAGCUUAGAAUUGAUUCUUAUUUGAUGCAAACUACAGGUAUGGUGUCUAACUUGUAGACGGUUGAAUUAAGCAUGCAUGGUUGCUUGUAAAUGCAGGAAGAUAAUAUUUAUUCAAAGAAACAGUCUGUCUCUAAAACCACAAAAAGCUGACAUUUUCUUGAGGUGGACAUCUUACCACUGCAAAGAGAUGUCAUCGGUCAGGCACUAAAACUUCUCCACACACUUAAUGUGGCCAUGAGCUCUUCAGAAUCUGACCUGAUGCAACACUGCAAAGCAGCUCUCUCCCAGCAGAAAAGCUGAGACUGACUUUGAUGCUGAGGAUUCCGGAUGGACGGAGGGCUGUCUUCAUGGUAGCAGUCCUGCCCAAGACUGUGAACAGUGAGUAGAGAAAAGGAAGAGGGCGGGAGGAGGAUGGACAAGGAAAGGUGAAGAGAAGAACAAAGAAGAGGAGGAAGGAGGAAGAGCGGACGAAAAGGGUGAACUGACUGUUUCAUGUCAGCUUGACACAGCUAGGGUCAUCAGACAGGUGGAGCCUCAACUGAGAAAAUGCCUCUGUAAUGUCAGGCUGUGGUCAAACCUGUAGGGCAUUUUCUUAAGCAGUGAUUGAUGCGGGAGGACCCAGCCCACUGUGGGUGGUGCCAUCCCUAGGCUGGUGGUCCUGGGUUCUAUAAGAAAGCAGGUUGAGCAAGCCAUGAUGAGCAAGCCAGUAAGUAGAACCCCUCCAUGGCCUCUGCACCAGCUCCUACUCCAGUUUCCUGCUCUGUCCUGACUUCCUUCAAUGAUGAACAGUGAUAUGGAAGUGUAAGCCAA
Long non-coding RNA from Chionomys nivalis (European snow vole), 1902 nucleotides. RefSeq lists it as uncharacterized. The transcript is spliced from 3 exons. The record is from RefSeq and is a predicted model, not a curated record. Lineage: Eukaryota; Metazoa; Chordata; Mammalia; Rodentia; Cricetidae.